RNAcentral lists this transfer RNA (72 nucleotides) under Phrynosoma platyrhinos (Desert horned lizard). Its description in RNAcentral is "tRNA-OTHER". It matches the Rfam family "tRNA". Rfam says of the family: Transfer RNA (tRNA) molecules are approximately 80 nucleotides in length. Their secondary structure includes four short double-helical elements and three loops (D, anti-codon, and T loops). Further hydrogen bonds mediate the characteristic L-shaped molecular structure. tRNAs have two regions of fundamental functional importance: the anti-codon, which is responsible for specific mRNA codon recognition, and the 3' end, to which the tRNAs corresponding amino acid is attached (by aminoacyl-tRNA synthetases). tRNAs cope with the degeneracy of the genetic code in two manners: having more than one tRNA (with a specific anti-codon) for a particular amino acid; and 'wobble' base-pairing, i.e. permitting non-standard base-pairing at the 3rd anti-codon position. The record is from RNAcentral. Lineage: Eukaryota; Metazoa; Chordata; Lepidosauria; Squamata; Phrynosomatidae.
GCCAGCAUGGUACAGUGGUUUGAGCACUGGACUAUGAAUCUGGACAGCAGGGUUCAAAUCCCUGUUCAGCCA